Cavia porcellus (domestic guinea pig) is the source of this 314-nucleotide unclassified non-coding RNA. Its record names the gene 7SK. It matches the Rfam family "7SK RNA". Rfam says of the family: 7SK was discovered as an abundant small nuclear RNA in the mid-70s but a possible function has only recently been suggested. Lineage: Eukaryota; Metazoa; Chordata; Mammalia; Rodentia; Caviidae. The record is from Ensembl.
GGAUGUGAAGAUGACCUGCCUGUCACACUCAUCACCCCAUUGGUCACCAGGGCUGAUUCAGUUGAUCUGGAUGGCCAGUGUCCCCUUCCUCCUUUACCUGUGUCCCUCUCAGUGCUGCAUGCAUGCUCAGUCAAAGAAGAUGACUACUCUCAACACAGGAGGACCAUUUCCUCAUCAAGGCUAUAGGAGUAGCUAUGCUCCCCUGCUAGAACCUCCAAACAAGCUCUCAAGGGAAUGAAAUAGACACGAGGGAUUAAAAUAGACACAAAGAACACAUGAAUGCUGUGCCCAAGAACACACUGCUCAGGAACUUC